UACGGGGGGGGCAAGCGUUGUUCGGAAUUACUGGGCGUAAAGGGCUUGUAGGUGGCCAACUAAGUCAGACGUGAAAUCCCUCGGCUUAACCGGGGAACUGCGUCUGAUACUGGAUGGCUGGAGUGUGGGAGAGGGAUGCGGAAUUCCAGGUGUAGCGGUGAAAUGCGUAGAUAUCGUCUGGAACGCCAAAGGUGAAAACAGACUGCUGGGAGUGUGCUGACGCUGAGACACGAAAGCCAGGGGAGCAAACGGG
RNAcentral lists this ribosomal RNA (253 nucleotides) under uncultured bacterium. RNAcentral's name for it is "partial 16S ribosomal RNA". It matches the Rfam family "Bacterial small subunit ribosomal RNA", at positions 524 to 776 of the family's 1533-position model. The record is from RNAcentral.